GACGAAGGUGGCGAGCGUUGUUCGGAAUCACUGGGCCUAAAGCGCACGUAGGCGGUGUCGUAAGUCGGGUGUGAAAUCCCUCGGCCUAACCGAGGGACUGCGCCCGAUACUGCGAUGCUUGAGGACCAGAGGGGUGCAUGGAAUUUCCGGUGGAGCGGUGAAAUGCGUUGAUAUCGGAAGGAACUCCGGCGGCGAAAGCGAUGCACUGGCUGGUUUCUGACGCUGAGGUGCGAAAGCCAGGGGAGCAAACGGG
RNAcentral lists this ribosomal RNA (253 nucleotides) under uncultured bacterium. RNAcentral's name for it is "partial 16S ribosomal RNA". It matches the Rfam family "Bacterial small subunit ribosomal RNA", at positions 524 to 776 of the family's 1533-position model. The record is from RNAcentral.